GAUGAACGCUGGCGGCGUGCCUAAUACAUGCAGGUCGAGCGAACAGAUGAGGAGCUUGCUCCUCUGACGUUAGCGGCGGACGGGUGAGUAACACGUGGAUAACCUACCUAUAAGACUGGGAUAACUUCGGGAAACCGGAGCUAAUACCGGAUAAUAUAUUGAACCGCAUGGUUCAAUAGUGAAAGACGGUUUUGCUGUCACUUAUAGAUGGAUCCGCGCCGCAUUAGCUAGUUGGUAAGGUAACGGCUUACCAAGGCGACGAUGUGUAGCCGACCUGAGAGGGUGAUCGGCCACACUGGAACUGAGACACGGUCCAGACUCCUACGGGAGGCAGCAGUAGGGAAUCUUCCGCAAUGGGCGAAAGCCUGACGGAGCAACGCCGCGUGAGUGAUGAAGGUCUUCGGAUCGUAAAACUCUGUUAUUAGGGAAGAACAAAUGUGUAAGUAACUAUGCACGUCUUGACGGUACCUAAUCAGAAAGCCACGGCUAACUACGUG
Molecule: ribosomal RNA, 497 nt
Filed under: uncultured bacterium
Lineage: Bacteria
Description: partial 16S ribosomal RNA
Rfam family: Bacterial small subunit ribosomal RNA
Source: RNAcentral